GGCCCGGUGGGAGAGUGGUUAUCCAGAGGACUGCAAAUCCUUGCACGCCGGUUCGAUUCCGGCCCGGGCCUCCA
This 74-nucleotide transfer RNA is filed under the name Bacteroidota bacterium. RNAcentral describes it as "tRNA-Cys". It matches the Rfam family "tRNA". Rfam says of the family: Transfer RNA (tRNA) molecules are approximately 80 nucleotides in length. Lineage: Bacteria; Pseudomonadati; Bacteroidota. RNAcentral also lists the same sequence under 3 other names. The record is from RNAcentral.